RNAcentral lists this ribosomal RNA (361 nucleotides) under uncultured bacterium. RNAcentral's name for it is "bacterial SSU rRNA". It matches the Rfam family "Bacterial small subunit ribosomal RNA", at positions 28 to 391 of the family's 1533-position model. The record is from RNAcentral.
GACGAACGCUGGCGGCGUGCUUAACACAUGCAAGUCGAGCGGUAAGGCCCUUUCGGGGGUACACGAGCGGCGAACGGGUGAGUAACACGUGGGUGACCUGCCCUCAGCUCUGGGAUAAGCCUGGGAAACCGGGUCUAAUACUGGAUAUGACUCCAUGACGCAUGUUGUGGGGUGGAAAGCCUUGUGCGGCUGAGGAUGGCCCGCGGCCUAUCAGCUUGUUGGUGGGGNGAUGGCCUACCAAGGCGACGACGGGUAGCCGGCCUGAGAGGGCGACCGGCCACACUGGGACUGAGACACGGCCCAGACUCCUACGGGAGGCAGCAGUGGGGAAUCUUGCGCAAUGGGCGAAAGCCUGACGCAG